Panthera uncia (snow leopard) is the source of this 648-nucleotide long non-coding RNA. RefSeq lists it as uncharacterized. Lineage: Eukaryota; Metazoa; Chordata; Mammalia; Carnivora; Felidae. The transcript has 2 exons. The record is from RefSeq and is a predicted model, not a curated record.
UCCGCCGCCCCGCCCCGCACCCAAUCCUGGCUCCCGGCUCGCCGGGCCCCGCCCCUCCGCUUCCUCGCGGGGCGCAGUCACCUUCAGGAGGAAGUGCCGCGGCACCCAACGCGCUGCCAGGUUGCCCUUUAGGGGAGGACUACAUUCCGUGGCGGAAGGACACGUUACAUAAAAGUCUCGGCAUGAACGCUCUGCGCAGGCCAAUGAGGAAGUGGCGAGGCAGCGGGGCCCGCCCCGGGAGCUCCGGGGACCUCCCUCCCAGACCCCCGGGGCCACCACCUGUUGCUGCCAGCUUGGAGUGCCGGACGAGGGCUCUUCUCUUGACCCUCGGCCCAGGCUGCCCUAGCUGUCCUGGCCUAACCGGGCAGUGCGAGAUUUAUGGAUCCUCGGCAGCAUUCCCCCAGCCCUGUCCUGCGACUCCCCAUCCCUCCGGGUGCCCGCCCCAGCACACACCUCGGAAACCGUGCCGCACAGGCAGUUAGGGAGCCCGAGAUGGGAUCAGAAGGUAUUUUCCGACUUUCCGAGGGCUAGUCAACAACCAAUGAUGAAGGCAGUUUAUCAAUGAAACAGCCGUUAAUUCUUGCCUUCAUGAAGCCAAGUUUUGAGAACAGAUACAACGCUGCCUCAUUAAAAAUCGUUAAGACCAUA